GAAGAUAAUAAGCCUUUGUAUUUCCAACUAUGGAUAAUAGGCUUCAGGCUCCCUACUAACAUUUUACAAUAUUUUGAUUCUUAGACCAAGCCUCUUAAACAAGCCACCUUCUAAUGAUGAUUGGGAGCAAGCAGGAAGUGACAAUGAGAGUAAUUAUAUUGUAAAUAAAAUUUGGGAUCUGAUACUGUCAAUGCUAUUUAAGAGGCCAUUUCUGAUAUAGUCCUUAUUCCUGAAGAGCGAAUAUCCACCUUCUUCUCUAGAAGCAUUGGAAAUUGAAGUUUGGUCAUGACAUUAAUGAAUUGAAAUAAAUAAAACAACCUACCCUUUCUCAGCAAUAAAU
This 340-nucleotide long non-coding RNA is filed under the name Anolis carolinensis (green anole). RNAcentral's name for it is "lncRNA (ENSACAG00000034220.2)". Lineage: Eukaryota; Metazoa; Chordata; Lepidosauria; Squamata; Anolidae. The record is from RNAcentral.